Molecule: ribosomal RNA, 333 nt
Filed under: Triticum aestivum (bread wheat)
Lineage: Eukaryota; Viridiplantae; Streptophyta; Magnoliopsida; Poales; Poaceae
Description: partial small subunit ribosomal RNA
Source: RNAcentral
AUGCCACUGCGCGCCCGGAGCAGCUUCGGCUACCGAGGCGUUCGCGUCCGGCCCUCCGGCAUGUUCUAUGCGGAGAUCCGCUCCAGUGGUGUGCGUCUCGAUCUCGGGACGUUCAAGACCGCGCACGAGGCCGGCCGCGCAUAUGACGCGGCGGUGUGGCGCCUCUUUAGGACAAGCUUGCACAUGAACUUCGACGACGCGCGGACGUGCCAGCAGGCGCAGGACCUCGUGCCUCCGUUGCGGCUAGUUACUGAUAAGGACGGUCAUGAACACUGCAGACGACAAUGUUGCCUCCUCAUCGCCGAGGCGGGCGAGCUAGCCAUGGCAGAAUGA